UGGGGAAUAUUGCGCAAUGGGGGAAACCCUGACGCAGCAACGCCGCGUGAAGGAAGAAGGUUUUCGGAUCGUAAACUUCUUUGAUGAGGGACGAAUAAAUGACGGUACCUCAAAAACAAGCCACGGCUAACUACGUGCCAGCAGCCGCGGUAAUACGUAGGUGGCGAGCGUUGUCCGGAAUUACUGGGUGUAAAGGGCGCGUAGGCGGGGAUGCAAGUCAGAUGUGAAAUACUGAGGCUUAACCUCAGGGCUGCAACUGAAACUGCGUUUCUUGAGUGUCGGAGAGGAAAGUGGAAUUCCUAGUGUAGCGGUGAAAUGCGUAGAUAUUAGGAGGAACACCAGUGGCGAAGGCGACUUUCUGGACGAUAACUGACGCUGAGGCGCGAAAGCGUGGGGAGCAAACAGG
RNAcentral lists this ribosomal RNA (406 nucleotides) under uncultured bacterium. RNAcentral's name for it is "bacterial SSU rRNA". It matches the Rfam family "Bacterial small subunit ribosomal RNA", at positions 355 to 776 of the family's 1533-position model. The record is from RNAcentral.